RNAcentral lists this ribosomal RNA (497 nucleotides) under uncultured bacterium. Its description in RNAcentral is "partial 16S ribosomal RNA". It matches the Rfam family "Bacterial small subunit ribosomal RNA", at positions 28 to 507 of the family's 1533-position model. The record is from RNAcentral.
GACGAACGCUGGCGGCGUGCCUAAUACAUGCAAGUUGAGCGAUGAAGAUUGGUGCUUGCCCCAAUUUGAAGAGCAGCGAACGGGUGAGUAACGCGUGGGGAAUCUGCCUUUGAGCGGGGGACAACAUUUGGAAACGAAUGCUAAUACCGCAUAACAACUUUAAACAUAAGUUUUAAGUUUGAAAGAUGCAAUUGCAUCACUCAAAGAUGAUCCCGCGUUGUAUUAGCUAGUUGGUGAGGUAAAGGCUCACCAAGGCGAUGAUACAUAGCCGACCUGAGAGGGUGAUCGGCCACAGUGGGACUGAGACACGGCCCAAACUCCUACGGGAGGCAGCAGUAGGGAAUCUUCGGCAAUGGACGAAAGUCUGACCGAGCAACGCCGCGUGAGUGAAGAAGGUUUUCGGAUCGUAAAACUCUGUUGGUAGAGAAGAACGUUGGUGAGAGUGGAAAGCUCAUCAGGUGACGGUAACUACCCAGAAAGGGACGGCUAACUACGUG